Molecule: ribosomal RNA, 373 nt
Filed under: uncultured bacterium
Lineage: Bacteria
Description: bacterial SSU rRNA
Rfam family: Bacterial small subunit ribosomal RNA
Source: RNAcentral
UAAUACGGAGGGUGCAAGCGUUAUCCGGAUUCACUGGGUUUAAAGGGUGUGUAGGCGGGCUAUUAAGUCAGUGGUGAAAUCUCAGGGCUCAACCCUGAAACUGCCAUUGAUACUAUUAGUCUUGAAUAUCGUUGAGGUUGGCGGAAUAUAUCAUGUAGCGGUGAAAUGCAUAGAUAUGAUAUAGAACACCGAUUGCGAAGGCAGCUAACUAAGCGAUGAUUGACGCUGAGGCACGAAAGCGUGGGGAUCAAACAGGAUUAGAUACCCUGGUAGUCCACGCCCUAAACUAUGAUUACUCGACAUACGCGAUACACAGUGUGUGUCUGAGCGAAAGCAUUAAGUAAUCCACCUGGGAAGUACGUCCGCAAGGAUG